RNAcentral lists this ribosomal RNA (242 nucleotides) under uncultured bacterium. RNAcentral describes it as "partial 16S ribosomal RNA". It matches the Rfam family "Bacterial small subunit ribosomal RNA", at positions 524 to 766 of the family's 1533-position model. The record is from RNAcentral.
UACGUAGGGUGCAAGCGUUAAUCGGAAUUACUGGGCGUAAAGCGUGCGCAGGCGGUUAUGUAAGACAGGUGUGAAAUCCCCGGGCUUAACCUGGGAACUGCAUUUGUGACUGCAUAGCUAGAGUACGGUAGAGGGGAUGGAAUUCCGCGUGUAGCAGUGAAAUGCGUAGAUAUGCGGAGGAACACCGAUGGCGAAGGCAAUCCCCUGGACCUGUACUGACGCUCAUGCACGAAAGGCGUGGG